RNAcentral lists this ribosomal RNA (429 nucleotides) under Acidobacteriota bacterium. Its description in RNAcentral is "Acidobacteria bacterium partial 16S ribosomal RNA". It matches the Rfam family "Bacterial small subunit ribosomal RNA", at positions 355 to 776 of the family's 1533-position model. Lineage: Bacteria; Pseudomonadati; Acidobacteriota. The record is from RNAcentral.
UGGGGAAUUUUGGACAAUGGGGGAAACCCUGAUCCAGCCAUCCCGCGUGUGCGAUGAAGGCCUUCGGGUUGUAAAGCACUUUUGGCAGGAAAGAAACGUCAUGGGUUAAUACCCCGUGAAACUGACGGUACCUGCAGAAUAAGCACCGGCUAACUACGUGCCAGCAGCCGCGGUAAUACGUAGGGUGCAAGCGUUAAUCGGAAUUACUGGGCGUAAAGCGUUCGCAGGCGGUUCGGAAAGAAAGAUGUGAAAUCCCAGAGCUCAACUUUGGAACUGCAUUUUUAACUACCGGGCUAGAGUGUGUCAGAGGGAGGUGGAAUUCCGCGUGUAGCAGUGAAAUGCGUAGAUAUGCGGAGGAACACCGAUGGCGAAGGCAGCCUCCUGGGAUAACACUGACGCUCAUGCACGAAAGCGUGGGGAGCAAACAGG